UGUAGGAGCGAGCCUGCUCGCGAUGGCGCCGUGUCAGGCGACAUUAAUAGUGACUGAGCGACCGCUAUCGCGAGCAGGCUCGCUCCUACA
RNAcentral lists this unclassified non-coding RNA (90 nucleotides) under Pseudomonas prosekii. Lineage: Bacteria; Pseudomonadati; Pseudomonadota; Gammaproteobacteria; Pseudomonadales; Pseudomonadaceae. The record is from RNAcentral.